Non-coding RNA from Labrus bergylta (ballan wrasse), 378 nucleotides. The record is from RefSeq and is a predicted model, not a curated record. Lineage: Eukaryota; Metazoa; Chordata; Actinopteri; Labriformes; Labridae.
AAAAUAGAUCGAAAAUGUCCACCUCGGGGUUCCGUAUUAAAGCGUCAUUUGUCGGCAUAUUUGUCUACGACAGGUUUCAGGGAUAUUUACAUGAAGCUACUCGUUCUCUAUACCAACUUUCCACCCGGACGCAUCCUUCCUGUAGCCCAUCAAACAAUCAGCCACCGACUUCGCUUUCUCUUCAUAAUCCAUGAUAGAUAACAGGUGACAAGCAAAAGACCCCUUUGCUAACUGAAUUUAUUGUUCGGGGAAGCUGACGUUAUGGCCCACACAGGUGAUAGUUAUCCCUUCAUUCAAUCAAACACAGAGUCACACAGCGGUGAUCAGUAGCUUUAGCUCGUCAGGUGAGCAUGAUCCAACACUUCACAGACAAAUGAA